GACGAACGCUGGCGGCGUGCCUAAUACAUGCAAGUAGAACGCUGAAGAGAGGAGCUUGCUCUUCUUGGAUGAGUUGCGAACGGGUGAGUAACGCGUAGGUAACCUGCCUUGUAGCGGGGGAUAACUAUUGGAAACGAUAGCUAAUACCGCAUAACAAUGGAUGACACAUGUCAUUUAUUUGAAAUGGGCAUUUCUCCACUUAAAAAAUGACCUGCGUUGUAUUAGCUAGUAGGUGAGGUAAUGGCUCACCUAGGCGACGAUACAUAGCCGACCUGAGAGGGUGAUCGGCCACACUGGGACUGAGACACGGCCCAGACUCCUACGGGAGGCAGCAGUAGGGAAUCUUCGGCAAUGGGGGCAACCCUGACCGAGCAACGCCGCGUGAGUGAAGAAGGUUUUCGGAUCGUAAAGCUCUGUUGUAAGUCAAGAACGGGUGUGAGAGUGGAAAGUUCACACUGUGACGGUAGCUUACCAGAAAGGGACGGCUAACUACGUG
Molecule: ribosomal RNA, 496 nt
Filed under: uncultured bacterium
Lineage: Bacteria
Description: partial 16S ribosomal RNA
Rfam family: Bacterial small subunit ribosomal RNA
Source: RNAcentral